UACGGAGGGUCCGAGCGUUAUCCGGAAUUAUUGGGUUUAAAGGGUCCGUAGGCGGAUGAUUAAGUCAGGGGUGAAAGUUUGCAGCUCAACUGUAAAAUUGCCUUUGAUACUGGUCAUCUUGAGUUGUAUUGAAGUAGGCGGAAUAUGUAGUGUAGCGGUGAAAUGCAUAGAUAUUACAUAGAACACCAAUUGCGAAGGCAGCUUACUAAGUACUAACUGACGCUGAUGGACGAAAGCGU
RNAcentral lists this ribosomal RNA (239 nucleotides) under uncultured bacterium. Its description in RNAcentral is "partial 16S ribosomal RNA". It matches the Rfam family "Bacterial small subunit ribosomal RNA", at positions 524 to 762 of the family's 1533-position model. The record is from RNAcentral.